CCUUUGUGCUCUCUCUCAAGCCACUUACUCUGGUUUAAUUCUAACCCUAGUUAACAACUGUCCUUACACUAUCUGGCCUGCCAUUCAACCAAAUGCCGGUCACCCAGUUCUCGAACGCGGUGGCUUUGCACUUCACACACUCACACACCGCUCUUUUGCCGCACCGACUACCCACUGGUCCGGUAGAAUCUGGGCUAGAACUGGUUGUAGUUAUGCUCACGGUAAGUUCAGCUGCGCCACCGGUGACUGUGGGGGCCGUAUUGAGUGUGAAGGACUUGGUGGGGCCACCCCUGCCACGUUGGCACAGUUUGCUCUACACCAUGGACAUGCUGAUUUCUCGUCUUAUGGUGUUAGCCUUGUCGAUGGUUUCAAUAUUCCUCUUACUGUAACUCCACAUGAAGGUAAUUAAUGUUAAAUUAGUUUGUAAUCUAGAGUUUAAUUUUUAUAUACCCUGAAAAAAUACUACUAAAAACGUACAUAUUUGCAAGUAAUUAUUCAUAAGAAAUAAGGAUUAGUGUCGGAAACAGCCUCUUUACCUCCACAAAUAGAAGUUACGUUCGUGUACAUACUACCCUCCCAGAUACCACUGGCGAGUUUCACUGAUUUGUUUGAAGUAAGGAUUUUACAACAGUAUCACUAUAUACCGGUCAUUUACUAUAAACUUAAUAUAUGUUUUUUACAAUAGUAUUGCCCUAUAAUAAAAAACGGAACAAAUGACAUGUUAGGAAGAGGUUUGACUGUACUGGCUAUUAGUACAUGUUAAAAACCUCUAAAAAAAUGUAUGUUUUUAAAAAAAAAAAUUCAAAACUUAUGGCCGAACACUUACUAAAAGUGUAACAAGAUGUCACACGUUGUAAAUGUAUAGAACGUAAAUCCAGCUAUAUGGAGUAUAAAGUAGGAUAUCACACAUAUUAAGGUAAAAAUGAGUUUGGGGCUUUGUAUAUUACUACUUGAAUAUUUGAAAAUUCUUUAUUUUCAUUUAAAUAUCAUUCAAAAUUUUAAAUAUAAAUUUUUCUUACUUGUUUUUAAAUUUAGCAGGACAUAUCUCUUCAUGAAAUAUGAAUAUCCCGAAUAGUCUCUUAAACUACUUUCAUGCAUUUAGGCCUUUUAUUUGAAGUGACUCAGCUAAUUUGUAACAUAUUGUUAUACUUUAUUAUAUUCUGAAGAGAUUUAUCUAUAUUUUUCAGACAAAAUGCUGAAAGCGGUUUUUCUUGGGCUUUUAACACAUUUGGCCAGUCAUUGAAAAUAAUUACAACACUAGCCAAAUAUACAGAAAAUAUACACCA
This 1286-nucleotide long non-coding RNA is filed under the name Nicotiana tabacum (common tobacco). RNAcentral's name for it is "long non-coding RNA (NTAB_LNC001309)". The record is from RNAcentral. Lineage: Eukaryota; Viridiplantae; Streptophyta; Magnoliopsida; Solanales; Solanaceae.